Molecule: long non-coding RNA, 254 nt
Filed under: Dasypus novemcinctus (nine-banded armadillo)
Lineage: Eukaryota; Metazoa; Chordata; Mammalia; Cingulata; Dasypodidae
Description: lncRNA (ENSDNOG00000051052.1)
Source: RNAcentral
CCUAUCAGCGCGGCGUUCUGGGAAAGAAAAUCUAGGUUUCUUCUCCGUUUGUGCAGCGGUAGACGUGCUUCCCCAUUCAGUUAUCUCGGAUUUUCCGGGGAGCGAUUUCGAAUCGCUUCACCGAGUGAACUUUGCACAGCCUGGGUGAACUAUCACAGUUCUCUCCAUUCUCCUAAGAGCGGCAGAUAAUGAAAAAAUCUAAGGUGAGCUUUCUUUAUUCCCCACAUUUAUUGUAAUGGAUUUAGGAUGUUUAU